This 453-nucleotide ribosomal RNA is filed under the name Costasiella ocellifera. RNAcentral describes it as "partial small subunit ribosomal RNA". It matches the Rfam family "Bacterial large subunit ribosomal RNA", at positions 1816 to 2601 of the family's 2925-position model. The record is from RNAcentral. Lineage: Eukaryota; Metazoa; Mollusca; Gastropoda; Costasiellidae.
AGCCUUAAGAUCUGAGAUUCGAUUUAAGGUAAAACCUGCCCAGUGCUAAAUUGUAAACGGCCGCAGUACCUUGACUGUGCGAAGGUAGCAUAAUCAUUUGGCUUUUAAAUGGAGUCGGGUAUGAAUGGGAAAAUGUGGCUGAGCUGUCUCCCCCUUUACUCUUCUUAAUUUACUGAAUAGGUGAAAAUUCCUAUUAAUAGAAAAAAGACGAGAAGACCCUAGGAGUUUUUAUUAGAGCUGUCUUCAUGAUAGUGCCAUUUUUGUUGGGGCGACAAAAGGAAAGUAGAUAGAUCUCCUUUUAGAAAUAGGCCGACUUUAGUAAGAGAAAAUAAACUACCCUAGGGAUAACAGCGUAAUCUAUUUUUAUAGGUUUGCGACCUCGAUGUUGGACUAGGAAUUUAUUAGGCUAGCCGCCUAGUUAUUAAUGUUCUGUUCGAACUUAAACUCCUACAU